GGACGUCACCGACGAAUUCACACCUGCUGCCGCCAUCCGCGCCGGGGUGCCCUCACAAGGGGUUCGUCGCGGAGGCAACAGGGAAGCCCAAC
RNAcentral lists this unclassified non-coding RNA (92 nucleotides) under Xanthomonas phaseoli pv. phaseoli. RNAcentral's name for it is "t44". The record is from RNAcentral. Lineage: Bacteria; Pseudomonadati; Pseudomonadota; Gammaproteobacteria; Lysobacterales; Lysobacteraceae.